ACAGUUUCAUUUCAACUUGAAUAGCAGCGUGCAAGCGAAAGGAGUCCGAAAGAUUAAUUUGAUUGGAAUCUAAGGGGCUGCCUCCUUAACCGUCAGAACGUUCGUUUUAUUUCCUGUUGCAGUUUCUCCCCCCCCCCCCGCACGCUUUAUUUCGCCACUGAUGAUCAAAGGCUUGAACUUCAACCAGCGGGUUCAUCAACAGAGACAGACAGCACCCCCCGCCCCCGCCGCCGCUAUUUCAGAGGGAGAAAGAGAAAGAACUGAACGAGGAACGACGCUAUGGAAAUGGUGUUCGGCGGCGAUAGCCAGAUGAAGGCUGUAGCUGCUUGCAGCUGGUAGGCAAUGAGAGAAAACCCCUCGAAGUGGAGGAGGCUAUGGAGAGGUGAGUGGGAGGAGGAGGAGAAGGAGGAAGAAAGAAAGAGGGUGAAACAAGGGCAACACGAUCCUUUAGGCUUUCCCUCCAAGAGCUUUGGCAUAGGAAGGAGAAGAAACAAAAUGCGUGGACGCCACAACGUGCAUUUGGACAAGUGUACACAUCUGGUGGGAGCCUCCUGCCCGUCACAGCUUUCUGCUCUGCAUACACCAAAUCUCAGUGCACACGUGUUUGUCCGGCACAUGAUAUGGCAUACAUGCAGCUUAGCCACCUGGAAGUGAUAACCGUGAAGGAAAUCAUCUUGUGUGAAGUGGCCCGAAGGAGGAAGUAACAUUACAGUCCCACUUAUCGGAGAGUGAUCCAGAUAUAUUGGAAACAUCUGGAGGAGCGGCAGUUUUGGAUGUGAUUGUACAUUCAGCUGCAUUAAUGGAGAACAGAAGAGGAUGGAGGGAAAAAAGCAAAAAGCAGUGAGGUGUCUGAGGUAGCUGGGAGAGGCCGUUUGGUGGAGUGGAUCAAACAAGGCUGGUCUUAGAUCAGUGAAGAAUCGCGGCUGUCUCGUGCCACCAUCAGCCAUUGAUUCACCAGAAUCUCCACAUCAGCUUCUCUGUACAAUGAGAUGGGGUCAUUAUCUUUUGGUGUGCAAUCGAUUUAAAUAUCCACAAAUGUGCAAUAGUUAUUCAGUGGUCCAGGACCAAGUGCUAAAGCUUUUGUGCAUCAUACCACUUUCAGCAGCACAGUUGUUUUCUGGGAGUAAUCCCCCCCCCCAUAAAUAACAGUCAAAGAUGCAUCUAACAAGAGCUAUAGACAAAAGAAAGCCUUACCAAUUCUCUGCCAAAGAAUCCAGUCUCCGUUUAUGUUGCUGGAGCUCUUGACAUUUUUUCUCAAGACAAUGCUUCUUUUGCAUGAUACUCUGUUUUCCCCUGUCUUCAGUCCACAGUUAUUUUGUCAGUGGGAAUGUGAGAUUCUACCACCCCAAACUAGAACCUCCAUUGCAAUUAUGAGCAGGAUGUCGAAUGUAGUUGUCAAACUGAGUUCAUGGGGAUUCCUUUGGACAAAAGCUUUGACGAGAAAUCUUGUUUCUUUCCGGUGCCAUUUGGGUGAGCUUUGGAUCUUGUAUUUUAUUUUUCAUUAUUUAAAGCAAAGAUUUCAUCUCACCUUUUAUCAAGAUUUUUUUUUAAAAAAACAAAUAAAUAAAUUGCAAAUGUUAUUGAUUAAAAAACCCAAUUAUGAAACAUAAAAUGUUGCUUUCUAGGACGGAUGCAUCUACAGAUGUUAGGUCUUGUAUGCAGUCACCCACAUGGCAUCAAAACAGACUUGGAAAACCUGUUACAUUACAGAUUAAGCUCACAUUCACAAGGUAUACUUCAGUAUAAAGCAUUAAUUUCUCCCUAGAAAUUAUCAAGGGGGCAUAGACAUUAUCAAGGGGUUAAACAAUGUUUUAAAAAUCAAGACAAGUCUCAUGAUAAAAGAAGCAGGGCGUGUAAAAUGAAGACAAGCAAAUGUUCCAUUAGAAUAUUCUCUUGGGAGCCACCCAGAAUGGCUGGGAAAACCCAGCCAGAUGGGCGGGGUAUAAAUAAAUUAUUAUUAUUAUUA
Molecule: long non-coding RNA, 1966 nt
Organism: Podarcis raffonei (Aeolian wall lizard)
Lineage: Eukaryota; Metazoa; Chordata; Lepidosauria; Squamata; Lacertidae
Exons: 2
Source: RefSeq, a predicted model, not a curated record